GUCAUUUUCCAAUAACUACUGGGAUAAAUUUGUUAAAAGAAAGGUAAUGGAUAAAUAUGGAGAGUUUUAUGGGCGAGACAGAAUCAGUGAGUUACUGGGCAUGGAUAAGGCUGCACUGGAUUUCAGCGAUGCGAGAGAGAAGAAGAAGCCCAAGAAAGACAGCUCCUUGUCUGCUGUACUGAACUCUAUUGAUGUGAAGUACCAGAUGUGGAAACUCGGAGUUGUGUUCACAGACAACUCCUUCCUGUACCUAGCCUGGUAUGACCAUGUCUGUUCUGGGACACUAUAACAACUUUUUUUUUGCUGCUCACCUCCUUGACAUCGCGAUGGGAUUCAAGACCUUGAGAACCAUCCUGUCUUCAGUCACCCACAAUGGCAAGCAGCUCGUGUUAACUGUGGGCUUAUUAGCUGUUGUUGUGUACCUGUACACUGUCGUGGCAUUCAAUUUCUUCCGAAAAUUCUAUAAUAAGAGCGAAGAUGGUGAUACACCAGACAUGAAAUGUGAUGACAUGCUGACGGUAAGCUCCUGAACUUGCAGUAAAAACUACCUGACAACCUUCCAUCUGAGUAACUGUGUAUUUCCCCAUCCCCAGAGGCAGGAGUGGAGGCACCAGGUACAGUGAAAGUUUGAGUGGCUUCUCAAACUAGAGCAUUUUCAUUUUAGCAGCACAUAAAGGACCAUUGCUGUUGACUUCCCACCUGUGUUUGUUCAGCUUAGUAAUUAGUAGACUUGUGAGAAAUGUAGUUAGGAUUGGGAGACAUGCAAUCAUGUUAGCUCAUUACUCAUACAAGCCAGGACAGCAGGUAGAAUGUUCUCCUGCUCUGAAGCCUUGGCUUUGGGCUUGCCUUACUGACUUUACCUGGCAUUAUUAAAAUCCACACAAUAUGUAUUAACAGAACUGAUACUUUCGCUUUUAUACUGAGUAUCUUGUCUUAAAGGUCCUGGGCAAAAUUAACAGAUGUUUCAGCUUUCAUAUUGUUGUAUGUAACUAUUGUACAACCUGCUUCUCUGAUGAUGGUUCUGUUUCUGGGAUAAAAUAUCCUGGCCAAAAGUUACUUAGGGUAGAAAGAGUUUAUUCUGGUUUGCAGUUCUGGAAGGAUAGAGUCCAUCAUGACAGGGAAAAUGUGCGGCAGGAAGAGAAGUCAUGGAGGCAGGAGCAGGAGGCCGACUGGCCACGUUUCAUCCAUACUCAAGCAACAGAGAAUAGCAAGUUGAACUAGACAAUAUGACCACACAGCCCUUCCCCCAGUGACAUAUUUCCUCCAGCAAGGCUCUGCCUUCUGAAGUUCUGUAACUUCCCUGAACAGCACCACCAACUGGAGACUAGGUGUUCAAACACAUGAGCCUAUGGGGAACAUUUCAUAUGAAAAUCACAAAAAUGACUCUUCUAGAACACUUAGGUUUGGGAGGGGAAACUUAAGACAAAUGAACUGUUGCUGACUGGGGAGAGCAAGGUUUUUCUGUGAGCCCUUCACUGGGAUACCUGCACUGGGAUAUACUGGGUGUGUGUGAGUGUCAAGGGGGGCUGAUAGAAUGAUUCUGAAAUUCUCUCAGAAAGGAAAUGUCCUGGAAGAGUGACAGGAACAAGGUACCGAUACUGUGAUGAAUAACUGAAGUAUUUCUGUACCUCCUUUGGAAUAGAUUAGAGUGACUUGGAACACAUAUAAAUACCCACAGAAAUUAAACUAUGAUAAAGUUGCUUUUUACAAUCAUAAAAUGCAAAAAAAUUCAAUAAAUGGUAUUGACUCCAUGUACAAGCCCCUGAGGGGUGGUAGAAGUGAAGACCAGUGUUUUGAUUCAAUAACAACUAGGACAUGUUUGCAUUCUUAAAAUAAUGACAAACCUUGAUAAAAGGAUUUUCUAUUAAUGAUAUAAAACCUAGAAAGCCGUGAAAGCCAAAAAUUAUUAUUUUGUGACUAAUAAAUAUAAAUCAAGUCUUAUAGACAAAUGAUAAAUUGGCCAAAAUGUAUUCAACAUGAUAAGGAAGAGACAUUUUCCUUUACUGGCACAGUUCUCAUCACGCCCUUGAAAAGACAUAAGCCCAGGGCCGCAGUGGGGAAGGCACCUGCCUCCAAGCUUACAGCCACUCUGAGUUCAGUCCCCCAGGCCUGCAUGGUGGAAAGAGAGAUACCUGAAUGGUGUCCUCUGACCUCCACUCCCAUCCAUGCUCCCCCCCAUAAUAUACAAAUAAAAAGUAAUUUAAGUAAUUUAACAAUGUUAUAAGAAAGAAGGCAACACACAAAGGGUCAGUUAUGUAGCCAGAUAAUGCACAGUAGCAUUAAUUCCUUCAGCUCAUAAGUCUGAAAAGAUGUCCAACUAUUACUGCAAAGAAAGAAAUGUAGGCCAGAAUAACAGAAAACCACAGUUCAUUAUUAAGAAUAUUAAAGCUUGCAAUAACUCUAGUCAGUGGAUUGAUGGGGAAACUAGCACAUUCCUCUUACUGAGAAUGUGAAUUUAUACAACUAUAAAGAGAUUGUCCGAUAUGUAUCAAAGUCCAUUAGUCAUCAGUUAGUUGCUCUUAUCACGAGGCCCUGUGUGACUCUGUUCAACCUGUAGCCACCGCACCUGAGAUGACAUGGUUUUCACUCAAUCUCCAUACAUGUUUCCCUUCAUUUGUCUUAGGAGAACCACAGCCUCUCCUGCUUGGGCUUGUUUAGCAGUGCAGGAUGUGAAUCCAGAAGGCAGAGAGAUUUGUCUCCAUUUUACUUUUGCCUUGGCACUGCCAAGAUGCUCGAGAACAGCUUUAAGGUGUGAAUUGUGUAUCAUGGCCCACGGUGUCAGCGAGGUUAGCCAGUGGUGGUGAUGAAUGCAUGGUGGAGCAGAUCAGUUUGCAUCUCAGUGGCUAGGAAGCAGAGAGCAGUGGAUUCUGAAGGGCAAGAUAGCCUGAAGGACCUGUUACCAGAACCUACUUUCUCCAUCAAGGCCCCACCUCUUACUCUCACUAUAUCCCAGUAAUGCCAUCUAUUAUGUUCAGAUUCAUCCAAGGAUUCCUUCAUUCCUUCUAUCAGAGCCCUGAUGACCCACUUAUCUCUGAAAAUACCCUUGUGGAUAAUUACUAAUAUCUUAGGUGCGUCUUUAUCCAACCAAGCUGACAAGCACGCUUAACCAUCACAGUCUCAUUUUAGGAUAAGGAAGUGGGCUCUUUACUUCCCUAGAGCCUGGACAUCAUCAGUUUGACCGACUUCUGUGAGUCAUUAGUAAGACCAUUGGUGACGAUCUGU
Molecule: long non-coding RNA, 3222 nt
Organism: Peromyscus leucopus (white-footed mouse)
Lineage: Eukaryota; Metazoa; Chordata; Mammalia; Rodentia; Cricetidae
Exons: 5
Source: RefSeq, a predicted model, not a curated record